RNAcentral lists this small RNA (361 nucleotides) under Pan troglodytes (chimpanzee). RNAcentral's name for it is "retained intron". The record is from RNAcentral. Lineage: Eukaryota; Metazoa; Chordata; Mammalia; Primates; Hominidae.
GUAGGAAUUUUACCAUUUCUUGGCUAUAAGACAUUUUCUGAAAGCUUCCUGAAUUGCUUUACCUAAGCUACAAUGCCUUCAGCUAAAUGUUAAUUUUGACAAAGGCAUUUUUGUAAAGCAUUGAUAUGACUGCUUUUUUUUCCUUCCUUUUAUUUUAGAUAAAAGAAGUAAGGCUUUGAAAGCUUCAGCGCCUGCUCCUGGUCAUCACUAACCAGAUUUACUUGGAGUACAUGUGAAAGAAAACGUCAGUCUGCCUGUAAAUUUCAGCAAGCCGUGUUAGAUGGGGAGCGUGGAACGUCACUGUACGCUUGUAUAAGUACCGUUUACUUCAUGGCAUGAAUAAAUGGAUCUGUGAGGUGCA